UGCCCUACGGGCGGCAGCAGUUGGGAAUCUUGCGCAAUGGGGGAAACCCUGACGCAGCGACGCCGCGUGCGGGAUGACGGUCUUCGGAUUGUAAACCGCUUUUCCCAGGGACGAUAAUGACGGUACCUGGGGAAUCAGCCCCGGCUAACUCCGUGCCAGCAGCCGCGGUAAGACGGAGGGGGCAAGCGUUGUCCGGAAUUACUGGGCGUAAAGAGCUCGUAGGCGGUCGCAUACGGCGGUGGUGAAAGCUCCCGGCUCAACUGGGAGAGGCCCACCGCAACGGUGUGACUCGAGGAUGGUAGAGGCAGAUGGAAUUCCUGGUGUAGCGGUGAAAUGCGUAGAGAUCAGGAGGAACACCCGUGGCGAAGGCGGUCUGCUGGGCCAUAUCUGACGCUGAGGAGCGAAAGCUAGGGGAGCGAACGGGAUUAGAUACCCCAGUAGUCA
RNAcentral lists this ribosomal RNA (444 nucleotides) under uncultured bacterium. RNAcentral's name for it is "bacterial SSU rRNA". It matches the Rfam family "Bacterial small subunit ribosomal RNA", at positions 335 to 796 of the family's 1533-position model. The record is from RNAcentral.